This 506-nucleotide ribosomal RNA is filed under the name uncultured bacterium. RNAcentral describes it as "partial 16S ribosomal RNA". It matches the Rfam family "Bacterial small subunit ribosomal RNA", at positions 28 to 523 of the family's 1533-position model. The record is from RNAcentral.
GAUGAACGCUAGCUACAGGCUUAACACAUGCAAGUCGAGGGGUAACGAGAGGAAAGCUUGCUUUCCUUGUCGACGACCGGCGCACGGGUGAGUAACGCGUAUCCAACCUGCCCCCAACUAAGGAAUAACCUUGCGAAAGUAAGACUAAUACCUUAUAAUUUCCUCAGAUGUCAUCUGACGAGGAAUAAAGAUUUAUCGGUUGUGGAUGGGGAUGCGUCUGAUUAGCUUGUUGGCGGGGUAACGGCCCACCAAGGCAACGAUCAGUAGGGGUUCUGAGAGGAAUGUCCCCCACAUUGGAACUGAGACACGGUCCAAACUCCUACGGGAGGCAGCAGUGAGGAAGAUUGGUCAAUGGGCGAAAGCCUUAACCAGCCAAGUAGCGUGCAGGUUGACGGCCCUAUGGGUUGUAAACUGCUUUUAUACAGGAAUAAAGUUAGCCACGUGUGGUUAUUUGUAGGUACUGUAUGAAUAAGGACCGGCUAAUUCCGUGCCAGCCGCCGCCGUAA